UACAGAGGGGGCAAGCGUUAUUCGGAAUUAUUGGGCGUAAAGGGCGCGUAGGCGGCCUGGCAAGUGGAAGGUGAAAUCCCUCGGCUUAACCGAGGAACUGCCCUCCAAACUGCUUGGCUUGAGUCCGGGAGAGGUGAGUGGAAUUCCCAGUGUAGCGGUGAAAUGCGUAGAUAUUGGGAAGAACACCCGUGGCUAAGGCGGCUCUCUAGUACGGUACUGACGCUGAGACGCGAAAGCGUGGGGAGCGAACAGG
This 253-nucleotide ribosomal RNA is filed under the name uncultured bacterium. RNAcentral describes it as "partial 16S ribosomal RNA". It matches the Rfam family "Bacterial small subunit ribosomal RNA", at positions 524 to 776 of the family's 1533-position model. The record is from RNAcentral.